Non-coding RNA from Paramisgurnus dabryanus, 347 nucleotides. The record is from RefSeq and is a predicted model, not a curated record. Lineage: Eukaryota; Metazoa; Chordata; Actinopteri; Cypriniformes; Cobitidae.
ACACAAAGUUUCAGAUGCAGGUCUGGUCUGGACCGUGUGUGUGUGUGUGCGUGAGGGGACGGGUGGCUGUAAUCUUUGAAAGUUUAUGAACGAACCUUUAUUGGGGUGCGACAAGAGAUCUCCAGGACUCAGUUUGGAUGGAGCAGAGCUGGUAUACUCAAGCCUAUUGCGAAAUUGCCUAAACUGGUAUUAACUAUUCCUGGUAAAUCGCAGAGAAAAGUGGCCUGAACAAAAAAGUCAGACCGAGACUUUAGAACCUCCCGCCGUGUAACAAGGCCAUCUUGGAACAAAGAGACGUUGAGUGGCUCGUGUCGUCUGCUUGGAUAUCAGUGGCAAAGCGAUCGUUG